CCCGUCCCCGUGGCCUCGCCCAGCCCCACCUGCUGUUUCCGUCGCGAGCCCACCUGCCGGGGCCGUCCCAAGGGCGUCCCCACCGUCCGCCGCAGUGCCCGAGACUCUCCCCAAGGCAGCACCACUACCUGGGUUGAGUUUUUGCUUCUAACAUCACUCCCUAAAUUGCUUACCUUUUUGCGCCCAAGGUCCACCUGCGUGCGACCGAGAGUAACCACUGAAGUGCUCCUGACAGGUGACAGACGGAGGGCAGGCUUUCUCAGAAAAACAGUUUGAGGAUGACCCCCUCCACUGCAACAAAGGACGGAUGAAGGAGGCCUGAUAGCAGAGGUGAAGGUUACACCCAAGACAACCAUGGUAGGCAGAGAGGACCCCCCGCCAGAAUGCCCACAUCUCAAUCCCUGCAACCCGUAACAUGAAUCUGUUACAGUACCUGGCAAAAGUGACUUUGCUGAUGUACUUAGUUAUAAACCCAAAUAGGGAGAAUAUCCUGGAUUAUCCAGGUAAAGCAAUCUAACGACAUAAUCCUUGAGAAGCAGACUAUUUUCUCCAGCUGGAGUCAGAAAGAUGAACUAGAAGAUGUCAGAAAGAUUUGAAGCCUGAGAAAGAUUGGACCUUCCACUGCUGGAGGGAACCACGGGGAAACCCUGAGAGAAAAUGCUGGCAGCUCGCGGAAGCAAAGGCCUGGCUGAAUUUACCAGUGCUUUUUAUUUUCAAGAAACAGAUUUUUAGAGGUAUAAGGUUUGUUACAGACAGGGCUAAAAGAAGACAAGACAAAAAGUCUUAAUGCUUUCGAAUUAAGGAAUGUAAAUUAGCCUCCUGUCUCCUAUGAAGUCAGAAUAAAGUCAAGGAAAUGAUAGGGUUGACAAAUUUGGCAAAUAAAAACACAGGAGACUCAGUUCAAACAGAAUUUUGAAUAAGAUUUUAGUAUAGAAAUACUUCAACUAAACAACAUUUUGUUAUUAGAAAAUUAAAAUGUAACUGGUCUUCCUCGUGUAUAUAGCAACUUAAAAAGUGACCCCCCAAAACAGUGGUUCUCAGCCUUGGCAGCACAUUGGAAUCUCCUGAAGGGCUUGCAGAAAUAUCCGUGCCCCGUGUUGCCUGGUAUAACUGCAUCAGAAUUUCUUGGGGUGGAGCCUCAGGCGACUCCAAUGUACUGUCAAGAUUGAGAACAAGAGCCAGGAGCUAAUGUGCACGGGUCUGGUGAACUAAAAGCAAUCUCCCCUAUAAGUUACAACCUGAAGUGAAGAGACAGUUUUCUACAAUAAAGAUCUCAUCAAAUAUUUACCUUAAUUUUGAAUUACAAGUGAAGAGUAUGAUUUUCAAUAUUUCAGGAAGAUCUUUCACUUUUUCUGUAAAAAGAUACACACUCCAUGAAUAUAAGAUAUCAAGUAAGUACUGACUUUACCUACUAGGUAGUUGGUAUCUAAAUAUUUACUAAUAUUCUCUUUCACCAGAUGUAACUGCUAGCUGAAUACAUGGUCAUUUCAAAGUACCUGUGUCAAUAGUAUUUGAAUUACUCUGCAGUUGAGUUUGAUAACGUCUGGCUUUGGCUGUAAUUUCCAGGCAAAACUGAAAUAAAAAGUAUGGUUUGGGUACUUGCAUCAUAAAUGGAUACUGGCUGUGAUUUGAAACAGCACUUUCCAAGCUGUGACUGUUCUCUGGGCUGCUAGCAUGUGUUUUACAUUUUUGGCCACCCUUCUUGUGCCUUCUUAUGACCUUUCUUUGUGGUAUAUGUGCCCUUCCUAUUUCUUUUGUGUCCUUUUGGUGUGAUAGACCUGGAAGAUAGAACUGGGUAGCUGAAAAAAUGGAAAACAAUGAAGAAAUACAUUUUUAAGGUACCAAAUGCAUUAAAAGUUUACUUGCAAAUGA
Phyllostomus discolor (pale spear-nosed bat) is the source of this 1872-nucleotide long non-coding RNA. RefSeq lists it as uncharacterized. The record is from RefSeq and is a predicted model, not a curated record. The transcript is spliced from 2 exons. Lineage: Eukaryota; Metazoa; Chordata; Mammalia; Chiroptera; Phyllostomidae.